Molecule: long non-coding RNA, 531 nt
Filed under: Cricetulus griseus (Chinese hamster)
Lineage: Eukaryota; Metazoa; Chordata; Mammalia; Rodentia; Cricetidae
Description: lncRNA (ENSCGRG00015029691.1)
Source: RNAcentral
CUGGUGCAUUGGGAGCUACUUAUAAUUGGGGAAAAUGAGAUCCUGAGAGCCAAAGUGACUUUUCAAGGGCACAAAGGCGUAGUGUGAAGGAGUGACAAGAAGUCCUCAUCCAGUGGCUGAUGAGAGCAGAGACAGACAUCCACAGAAACACACUGAGCUGAAAUCUGGAACUCAGUUGAAGAGAGGGAGGAAUGAAGAACGAAGGGGUCUGUACCUGGUUGGAGAAACCCACAGAAACAGUUGGCCUGAAAAAGGGAAAGCAUAUCGACCCCAGAUGCUCUUUGGGAGGACAGUACAGGACUAAUCCAGCCCCCUGAUCAUGGAUGCCAGUGGGGAGGCCCCUGCACUCCUUGGAGCCUCUGGAGGUGGACUGGUGUUUUGCCCUGGUGGGUGGGAGGAACUUCGAGAGCCCAUCCCACUUGAAGGGAUUCGCUCUGUCUCUGAACACAUGGGGAGGGGCCUAAGCCCAGCACAGGAAGAUUUGGUGGACUUGGUGGAGCCCUGGUUGGGGGCCCUACCCUGCCUGGGGAG